RNAcentral lists this ribosomal RNA (259 nucleotides) under uncultured prokaryote. Its description in RNAcentral is "partial 16S ribosomal RNA". It matches the Rfam family "Bacterial small subunit ribosomal RNA", at positions 524 to 782 of the family's 1533-position model. The record is from RNAcentral.
UACGGAGGAUGCGAGCGUUAUCCGGAUUUACUGGGCGUAAAGGGAGCGUAGGCGGACUUUUAAGUGAGAUGUGAAAUACCCGGGCUUAACUUGGGUGCUGCAUUUCAAACUGGAAGUCUAGAGUGCAGGAGAGGAGAAGGGAAUUCCUAGUGUAGCGGUGAAAUGCAUAGAUAUUACACAGAACACCGAUUGCGAAGGCAGCUUACUAAUCCAUCAUUGACGCUGAGGCACGAAAGCGUGGGGAUCAAACAGGAUUAGA